This 27-nucleotide non-coding RNA is filed under the name Cricetulus griseus (Chinese hamster). Lineage: Eukaryota; Metazoa; Chordata; Mammalia; Rodentia; Cricetidae. The record is from RNAcentral.
AUUAGAGGAGUAUGACUUUAAAAAGGA